GAUGAACGCUGGCGGCGUGCUUAACACAUGCAAGUCGAACGGUGAAGCAGGAGCUUGCUCUUGUGGAUCAGUGGCGAACGGGUGAGUAACACGUGAGCAACCUGCCCCUGACUCUGGGAUAAGCGCUGGAAACGGCGUCUAAUACUGGAUAUGUGAUGUGACCGCAUGGUCUGCAUCUGGAAAGAAUUUCGGUUGGGGAUGGGCUCGCGGCCUAUCAGCUUGUUGGUGAGGUAAUGGCUCACCAAGGCGUCGACGGGUAGCCGGCCUGAGAGGGUGACCGGCCACACUGGGACUGAGACACGGCCGAGACUCCUACGGGAGGCAGCAGUGAGGAAUAUUGCACAAUGGGCGGAAGCCUGAUGCAGCAACGCCGCGUGAGGGAUGACGGCCUUCGGGUUGUAAACCUCUUUUAGCAGGGAAGAAGCGAAAGUGACGGUACCUGCAGAAAAAGCACCGGCUAACUACGUGCCAGCAGCCGCCGCCG
Molecule: ribosomal RNA, 484 nt
Filed under: uncultured bacterium
Lineage: Bacteria
Description: partial 16S ribosomal RNA
Rfam family: Bacterial small subunit ribosomal RNA
Source: RNAcentral